AAACCAACAGGGAUUGCCCUAGUAACGGCGAGUGAAGCGGCAACAGCUCAAAUUUGAAAUCUGGCUCUUUCAGGGUCCGAGUUGUAAUUUGCAGAGGGUGCUUUGGUGUUGGCGGCGGUCUAAGUUCCUUGGAACAGGACAUCCCAGAGGGUGAGAAUCCCGUAUGUGGUCGCCUGCCUUCGCCGUGUAAAGCCCCUUCGACGAGUCGAGUUGUUUGGGAAUGCAGCUCUAAAUGGGAGGUAAAUUUCUUCUAAAGCUAAAUACCGGCCAGAGACCGAUAGCGCACAAGUAGAGUGAUCGAAAGAUGAAAAGCACUUUGGAAAGAGAGUCAAACAGCACGUGAAAUUGUUAAAAGGGAAGCGCUUGCAGCCAGACUUGCCUGUAGUUGCUCGCCUGGGCUUUUGCCCGGGUUACUCUUCUGCAGGCAGGCCAGCAUCAGUUUGGGCGGUCGGAUAAAGGUCCCUUUCACGUAUCUCCCUUCGGGUUAACAUAUAGGGGGGGCGUAAUGCCACCAGCCUGGACUGAGGUCCGCGCAUCUGCUAGGAUGCUGGCGUAAUGGCUGUAAGCGGC
This 570-nucleotide ribosomal RNA is filed under the name Periconia sp. OTU7 TS-2013. RNAcentral's name for it is "eukaryotic LSU rRNA". It matches the Rfam family "Eukaryotic large subunit ribosomal RNA", at positions 62 to 648 of the family's 3401-position model. The record is from RNAcentral. Lineage: Eukaryota; Fungi; Ascomycota; Dothideomycetes; Pleosporales; Periconiaceae.